Long non-coding RNA from Esox lucius (northern pike), 863 nucleotides. RefSeq lists it as uncharacterized. NCBI's taxonomy places the organism in Eukaryota, Metazoa, Chordata, Actinopteri, Esociformes, Esocidae. The transcript is spliced from 3 exons. The record is from RefSeq and is a predicted model, not a curated record.
ACCUCCAGAACUGGGAUGACCUUGCCCCCAGCUAUGUCGUUGCCCAACAAAAAUGACACCCCGUCAACUGGCAACUUUUGGACCACCCCUACACGGAACCGGCCAGACACAACAGACGACGACAGGGACAGAGACGCCACCACCUCCUGUGCCUUCCCUGUCAGCCUACACUGGAGCAGCAAAGGCCAGACCUCCUUAGGCCAGCGAAGAGCCCCUGCUACUCUCUCAAAAGCGGAGAAGUAGGAAUCCACUUCUGCUUCUCUGAAUGGAGGAACGACAGCUAUGUUUCUCCCAACAUCAAAAGGCCCCUCUCUUCCCACUGGUCAGCUUCAAGGCGGGCCAGCCGAAGCCUAUGUCUAGCGGUCUCCCCCGAGCCCUCAGGCUCAAAAGGAGAUGGCUCGAACUUGGGUAGGGUCAAAGGCACCCGUGUCGCCACCCCCACACCGCCCUCCGGCCGUGCAGGCGAGAGACCUGUCAGCACCUCAUGCCCUUCCCCAGCUUCCUCAGCUGCCUCUUGCUCCUCAACCUCUUCCUCCUCGACCUCCUCAUCCUGUGAGGGAACUAUACCUUGAGACAAUAAAUGCAGUGAAAUGACUGCAACUAUUUCUGCCUUGAGUGAGUGCUUGGAGACUGGGAUGUUAUAGUGAGCUGCUACCGCUAACAAGUCUGUUUUAGUGAGCUGUGACAAACCCUCAAGAGUAGGGUCCGCAAUAAAAAGGUCCACCGCCACAGACGCCAUCUUACACGGCACCGAGAACACACCACUACGGCACUAACAGGGAAACCCUGGUAACAAACCAAAGACACUAAACAACCAGGAACGCGUAUACAAAACACCAAAGCCAGAACUAGUCCCUACUCAC